AGAGGGCCGACCCGUCAGGCGUUGAUCACCGGGCCAACGGGAGACAAUGUGGCGUGAUGCUGACGCAGCCCACUGACAAGCCAGCGCGAGGCCCAGGGGAGCAGCUCUGAGCCGAGCAGCCAGAGCCAGGCAGGUGGCUCCAGAAGUGAAGCUGAAACAAUUAAUUGCGCUAUUAAACAAACACUUUAUGUUCCCUGAAAAAUCUUUAACAAAA
RNAcentral lists this long non-coding RNA (214 nucleotides) under Capra hircus (goat). RNAcentral's name for it is "lncRNA (ENSCHIG00000006362.1)". The record is from RNAcentral. Lineage: Eukaryota; Metazoa; Chordata; Mammalia; Artiodactyla; Bovidae.